RNAcentral lists this ribosomal RNA (780 nucleotides) under Flavobacterium pectinovorum. Its description in RNAcentral is "bacterial SSU rRNA". It matches the Rfam family "Bacterial small subunit ribosomal RNA", at positions 218 to 1002 of the family's 1533-position model. Lineage: Bacteria; Pseudomonadati; Bacteroidota; Flavobacteriia; Flavobacteriales; Flavobacteriaceae. The record is from RNAcentral.
GUAAAAGAUGGGCAUGUUCCCAUUAGCUAGUGGUAAGGUAACGGCUUACCAAGGCUACGAUGGGUAGGGUCCUGAGAGGGAGAUCCCCCACCACUGGUAUUGAGACACGGACCAGAUUCCUACGGGAGGCAGCAGUGAGGAAUAUUGGACAAUGGGCGCAAGCCUGAUCCAGCCAUGCCGCGUGCAGGAUGACGGUCCUAUGGAUUGUAAACUGCUUUUAUACGAGAAGAAACACUCCGACGUGUCGGAGCUUGACGGUAUCGUAAGAAUAAGGAUCGGCUAACUCCGUGCCAGCAGCCGCGGUAAUACGGAGGAUCCAAGCGUUAUCCGGAAUCAUUGGGUUUAAAGGGUCCGUAGGCGGUUUAGUAAGUCAGUGGUGAAAGCCCAUCGCUCAACGGUGGAACGGCCAUUGAUACUGCUAAACUUGAAUUAUUAGGAAGUAACUAGAAUAUGUAGUGUAGCGGUGAAAUGCUUAGAGAUUACAUGGAAUACCAAUUGCGAAGGCAGGUUACUACUAAUGGAUUGACGCUGAUGGACGAAAGCGUGGGUAGCGAACAGGAUUAGAUACCCUGGUAGUCCACGCCGUAAACGAUGGAUACUAGCUGUUGGAAGCAAUUUCAGUGGCUAAGCGAAAGUGAUAAGUAUCCCACCUGGGGAGUACGUUCGCAAGAAUGAAACUCAAAGGAAUUGACGGGGGCCCGCACAAGCGGUGGAGCAUGUGGUUUAAUUCGAUGAUACGCGAGGAACCUUACCAAGGCUUAAAUGUAGAUUGACCGGUUU